Molecule: small nucleolar RNA, 130 nt
Filed under: Zalophus californianus (California sea lion)
Lineage: Eukaryota; Metazoa; Chordata; Mammalia; Carnivora; Otariidae
Description: Small nucleolar RNA SNORA31 (ENSZCAG00015021915.1)
Rfam family: Small nucleolar RNA SNORA31
About the family: ACA31 (SNORA31) belongs to the H/ACA class of snoRNAs which are thought to guide the sites of modification of uridines to pseudouridines. ACA31 is predicted to guide the pseudouridylation of U3713 in 28S rRNA and U218 in 18S rRNA.
Source: RNAcentral
AUGCAUCCAUUUGACAGACCUGGAGCAGUUCCUGUCUGCUGCUGAGGUUUCCACUAGAGAUGCAAGAAAAAAGUGUCCUUGCACUUUCUGUCUCAUUGUGGCAGUCAAGAUUGAAUGGGGGAGUACAGGG